This is a long non-coding RNA of Pezoporus flaviventris, 745 nucleotides long. RefSeq lists it as uncharacterized. The record is from RefSeq and is a predicted model, not a curated record. NCBI's taxonomy places the organism in Eukaryota, Metazoa, Chordata, Aves, Psittaciformes, Psittacidae. The transcript has 2 exons.
AAAGCAUUCUUCAUAAGGACUAUGACCUUUAUAUACUACACAGAGUGUGGACAAAGGGGUCUGAACAAAGACUCUCAAUAGGAACUGCCUGCCUCAUGUUUUCACUCUUCUUCUAGCAAAAAAGUUAAUCAUUUGGCAUUGCAUACUAAAAGAAAAAUAAUAAUAAAAUAGAUAAUGACCUGCUUGCAGCUCAAUUUACUUGUGUCAUGAUAUAAUAAAUACCAAGCUGAGUUUUCACAAUAUUAAUCAUUAACCUAGGAGAGGGCAUUCGCUUAAAAUUCUUGUUUCAUGAAUACAUUUGCAGUUAUUUUAACAGCAGUUCCAAAUAUGCUGAAGACAUAAACAAGCCCAAGUGCCCCCAGAAGCCAAACUCCUUUUCAUCUUUCAACUUUUGGAUAUAAAGUUAUCAUCCAUCUCCCCUGAUCGAACAGUCUCUGAAACCUGAACAACUGAAGCAAAGUUGGAUUCCGGGAGCUUUUCCUCUGUGACAGACUUCUCAGGCCCACAGCAAAAUGUUUCAGGUACUGAACUGAAGAUUCUGCAACAACAUUAGAAGAUUAUUUGGAAAAAAAAUCUAUUCUACUAGAAGGUUAGAGAUUGGUUCAAAAAAAUUUAGAAAUAAUUGGUCCAGCACUGAGAAGACUUCAUGGGCUUAAUAUUGUAUCUUGUUUAGGAGAGAGAAGAGUGAAAAAUCCUAUUUGCUUGGAUUUUGUAUUUAUAAUAAAGGUGGAAUUUUGUAUUUAAA